This is a long non-coding RNA of Schistocerca gregaria, 312 nucleotides long. RefSeq lists it as uncharacterized. The transcript is spliced from 3 exons. The record is from RefSeq and is a predicted model, not a curated record. Lineage: Eukaryota; Metazoa; Arthropoda; Insecta; Orthoptera; Acrididae.
GUGGCAACUCAAUUAUCAGUGUUUGACAGUGAUGAAGACGAAAAAAGAGUAUAAGUGGUUGCAGAUGACAAACUGUCGGUCAUUGUAGAAACACAAGACGUCAGAAAAACCACACCAUGUGGUAAAAAGAUGGAAAAUAAAAGCCCACUGAGGAUGCUGCAACUGCAGUGAAACAUGUCUGGGUUAAAAAACAAAACUGUGUUUUGCUAAAGGCGGACCCUACCCAAAAACAUAUAUAUUGUUAAAGCAAACACGGAAAAAAAGAGCUUCAAUACCAAGAUGAUUAUUUCGAUGCCUUGCCAGGCAUUUCCG